Molecule: ribosomal RNA, 361 nt
Filed under: uncultured bacterium
Lineage: Bacteria
Description: partial 16S ribosomal RNA
Rfam family: Bacterial small subunit ribosomal RNA
Source: RNAcentral
CCUACGGGUGGCAGCAGUGAGGAAUUUUGGUCAAUGGACGGAAGUCUGAACCAGCAAUGCCGCGUGCAGGAAGACGGCUCUCUGAGUUGUAAACUGCUUUUGUACAAGGGUAAACCUGAAUACGUGUAUUCCGCUGAAAGUACUGUACGAUUAAGGAUCGGCUAACUCCGUGACAGCAGCCGCGGUAAUACGGAGGAUCGAAGCGUUAUCCGGAUUUAAUGGGUUUAAAGGGUGCGUAGGCGGAUAGAUAAGUUAGAGGGGAAAUGUCCGAGCUUAACUCGGGAACAGCCUCAAAUACUGUUGAUCUAGAGAGUAGAUGCGGUAGGCGGAAUGUAUGGUGUAGCGGUGAAAUGCUUAGAGA